Molecule: ribosomal RNA, 508 nt
Filed under: uncultured bacterium
Lineage: Bacteria
Description: partial 16S ribosomal RNA
Rfam family: Bacterial small subunit ribosomal RNA
Source: RNAcentral
CGAACGCUGGCGGCGUGCUUAACACAUGCAAGUCGAACGAAGAGCGAUGGAAGCUUGCUUCUAUCAAUCUUAGUGGCGAACGGGUGAGUAACGCGUAAUCAACCUGCCCUUCAGAGGGGGACAACAGUUGGAAACGACUGCUAAUACCGCAUACGAUCUAAACUCGGCAUCGAGGAUAGAUGAAAGGUGGCCUCUACAUGUAAGCUAUCACUGAAGGAGGGGAUUGCGUCUGAUUAGCUAGUUGGAGGGGUAACGGCCCACCAAGGCGAUGAUCAGUAGCCGGUCUGAGAGGAUGAACGGCCACAUUGGGACUGAGACACGGCCCAGACUCCUACGGGAGGCAGCAGUGGGGAAUCUUCCGCAAUGGACGAAAGUCUGACGGAGCAACGCCGCGUGAGUGAUGACGGCCUUCGGGUUGUAAAGCUCUGUUAAUCGGGACGAAAGGCCUUCUUGCGAAUAGUGAGAAGGAUUGACGGUACCGGAAUAGAAAGCCACGGCUAACUACGUG